RNAcentral lists this ribosomal RNA (330 nucleotides) under uncultured bacterium. RNAcentral's name for it is "bacterial SSU rRNA". It matches the Rfam family "Bacterial small subunit ribosomal RNA", at positions 568 to 898 of the family's 1533-position model. The record is from RNAcentral.
CGUGUAGGCGGGUCUUUAAGUCAGGGGUGAAAUGCCAAGGCUCAACCUUGGAACUGCCUUUGAUACUGGAGAUCUUGAGUCCGGGAGAGGUGAGUGGAACUGCGAGUGUAGAGGUGAAAUUCGUAGAUAUUCGCAAGAACACCAGUGGCGAAGGCGGCUCACUGGCCCGGAACUGACGCUGAGACGCGAAAGCGUGGGGAGCAAACAGGAUUAGAUACCCUGGUAGUCCACGCUGUAAACGAUGGAUGCUAGCCGUUGGGGAGCUUGCUCCUCAGUGGCGCCGCUAACGCAUUAAGCAUCCCGCCUGGGGAGUACGGUCGCAAGAUUAAA